This 230-nucleotide ribosomal RNA is filed under the name uncultured bacterium. RNAcentral describes it as "partial 16S ribosomal RNA". It matches the Rfam family "Bacterial small subunit ribosomal RNA", at positions 560 to 790 of the family's 1533-position model. The record is from RNAcentral.
GUAAAGCGUGCGCAGGCGGUUAUGUAAGACAGAUGUGAAAUCCCCGGGCUCAACCUGGGAACUGCAUUUGUGACUGCAUGGCUAGAGUACGGUAGAGGGGGAUGGAAUUCCGCGUGUAGCAGUGAAAUGCGUAGAUAUGCGGAGGAACACCGAUGGCGAAGGCAAUCCCCUGGACCUGUACUGACGCUCAUGCACGAAAGCGUGGGGAGCAAACAGGAUUAGAUACCUGU